UCCACACUCAUGUAUGCUGGACUUCAAAGGAUCAACCAUUAAAUUUGGCAUAGAUCUUUAGAAAAGUUAUCACAUGACUGUGAAAUUUGACUUUCUUAGAGAUCUGUGUCAAAUUUAAUGGUAAUCUUUUGGGGUCCUACACACAUGGGUGAGGA
Amborella trichopoda is the source of this 155-nucleotide non-coding RNA. NCBI's taxonomy places the organism in Eukaryota, Viridiplantae, Streptophyta, Magnoliopsida, Amborellales, Amborellaceae. The record is from Rfam.